This is a small nuclear RNA of Coffea eugenioides, 189 nucleotides long. RefSeq annotates it as U2 spliceosomal RNA. The record is from RefSeq and is a predicted model, not a curated record. NCBI's taxonomy places the organism in Eukaryota, Viridiplantae, Streptophyta, Magnoliopsida, Gentianales, Rubiaceae. The transcript has a single exon.
AUACCUUUCUUGACCUUUCGCCUAAGAUUAAGUGUAGUGUAGCAUCUGUUCUUAUCGGUUUAAUAAUUGAAACGUGGGCCAAUAUUAGAUGAAUUUUUCUGGACAGAAGGCCCAUGACAGUAGCCUACUACCGGGGCUUUCGAGCGUCGUCCAAGCGUUGCACUGCUACGAUGGCCUGGCACACCCCAG